This 920-nucleotide ribosomal RNA is filed under the name uncultured bacterium. RNAcentral describes it as "bacterial SSU rRNA". It matches the Rfam family "Bacterial small subunit ribosomal RNA", at positions 68 to 984 of the family's 1533-position model. The record is from RNAcentral.
GGCAGCGCGGGGCAACCUGGCGGCGAGUGGCGAACGGGUGAGUAAUAUAUCGGAACGUGCCCUGGAGUGGGGGAUAACGCAGCGAAAGUUGCGCUAAUACCGCAUACGAUCUAAGGAUGAAAGCGGGGGAUUCGCAAGAACCUCGUGCUCCUGGAGCGGCCGAUAUCUGAUUAGCUAGUUGGUGGGGUAAAGGCCUACCAAGGCAUCGAUCAGUAGCUGGUCUGAGAGGACGACCAGCCACACUGGAACUGAGACACGGUCCAGACUCCUACGGGAGGCAGCAGUGGGGAAUUUUGGACAAUGGGCGAAAGCCUGAUCCAGCAAUGCCGCGUGAGUGAAGAAGGCCUUCGGGUUGUAAAGCUCUUUUGUCAGGGAAGAAACGGUGAAGGCUAAUAUCCUUUGCUAAUGACGGUACCUGAAGAAUAAGCACCGGCUAACUACGUGCCAGCAGCCGCGGUAAUACGUAGGGUGCAAGCGUUAAUCGGAAUUACUGGGCGUAAAGCGUGCGCAGGCGGUUUUGUAAGUCUGUCGUGAAAUCCCCGGGCUCAACCUGGGAAUUGCGAUGGAGACUGCAAGGCUAGAAUCUGGCAGAGGGGGGUAGAAUUCCACGUGUAGCAGUGAAAUGCGUAGAGAUGUGGAGGAACACCGAUGGCGAANGCAGCCCCCUGGGUCAAGAUUGACGCUCAUGCACGAAAGCGUGGGGAGCAAACAGGAUUAGAUACCCUGGUAGUCCACGCCCUAAACGAUGUCUACUAGUUGUCGGGUUUUAAUUAACUUGGUAACGCAGCUAACGCGUGAAGUAGACCGCCUGGGGAGUACGGUCGCAAGAUUAAAACUCAAAGGAAUUGACGGGGACCCGCACAAGCGGNGGAUGAUGUGGAUUNAUUCGAUGCNACGCGAAAAACCUUACCUACCCNNGA